UGUUCUUGAUGAAACUCGUGCAUGUCAACUGAUCCAGAAUCCCCCCUGUGCCUCGGUGGCCAGUUGGCAUUCUGUCAACUGGUUGUUAGAAUGGCCUCAGGGCUCCCUGGGUGUUAUCUAAGGCA
Molecule: small nucleolar RNA, 125 nt
Organism: Oncorhynchus mykiss (rainbow trout)
Lineage: Eukaryota; Metazoa; Chordata; Actinopteri; Salmoniformes; Salmonidae
Gene: SNORD10
Product: small nucleolar RNA, C/D box 10
Source: Ensembl